RNAcentral lists this ribosomal RNA (761 nucleotides) under uncultured Pseudomonadota bacterium. RNAcentral describes it as "bacterial SSU rRNA". It matches the Rfam family "Bacterial small subunit ribosomal RNA", at positions 570 to 1334 of the family's 1533-position model. The record is from RNAcentral. Lineage: Bacteria; Pseudomonadati; Pseudomonadota.
UGCAGGCGGUUAUACAAGUAGGAUGUGAAAGCCUGGGGCUCAACCUCAGAACUGCAUUCUAAACUGUGUGACUAGAGUAUUGCAGGGGGAGACGGAAUUUCAGGUGUAGCGGUGGAAUGCGUAGAUAUCUGAAAGAACACCAAAGGCGAAGGCAGUCUCCUGGGCAAAUACUGACGCUCAUAUGCGAAAGCGUGGGUAGCAAACAGGAUUAGAUACCCUGGUAGUCCACGCCGUAAACGAUGUCAAUUAGGAGCUUGAGCAAUAGUUUGGGUUCCGAAGCAAACGCAAUAAAUUGACCGCCUGGGGAGUACGGCCGCAAGGUUAAAACUCAAAUGAAUUGACGGGGGCCCGCACAAGCGGUGGAGCAUGUGGUUUAAUUCGACGCAACGCGAAGAACCUUACCUGAUCUUGACAUAGCAAGAACCUCUCUGAAGGGAGAGGGUGCCUUCGGGAAUUUGCAUACAGGUGCUGCAUGGCUGUCGUCAGCUCGUGUCGUGAGAUGUUGGGUUAAGUCCCGCAACGAGCGCAACCCUUGUCCUUUGUUGCCAGCGAUUCGGUCGGGAACUCAAAGGAGACUGCCAGUGACAAACUGGAGGAAGGCAGGGAUGACGUCAAGUCAUCAUGGCCCUUACGGUCAGGGCUACACACGUGCUACAAUGGGGCGUACAGAGGGAAACGAUACCGCGAGGUGGAGUGGAACCCACAAAGCGUCCCUAAGUUCGGAUUGGAGUCUGCAACUCGACUCCAUGAAGUCGGAAUCG